Molecule: non-coding RNA, 125 nt
Organism: Brassica napus (rape)
Lineage: Eukaryota; Viridiplantae; Streptophyta; Magnoliopsida; Brassicales; Brassicaceae
Source: Rfam
GGAAUAUAAGAACCCGUUUCUUAACUUUUAAUUAAAAAAACUAAAAACCGGCUCUUAAAUAAGAGUUUUAAGAACCGGUUCUUAAUUCUUUUAGUUAAAAGUUAAGAGACGGGUUCUUAUAUUUC